UACGUAGGGGGCAAGCGUUGUCCGGAAUCAUUGGGCGUAAAGAGCGUGUAGGCGGCCUGGUAAGCCCGCUGUGAAAGUCCAGGGCUCAACCCUGGAAUGCCGGUGGAAACUGUCAGGCUCGAGUCCGGAAGAGGCGAGUGGAAUUCCUGGUGUAGCGGUGAAAUGCGCAGAUAUCAGGAGGAACACCAAUGGCGAAGGCAGCUCGCUGGGACGGUACUGACGCUGAGACGCGAAAGCGUGGGGAGCAAACAGG
RNAcentral lists this ribosomal RNA (253 nucleotides) under uncultured bacterium. RNAcentral's name for it is "partial 16S ribosomal RNA". It matches the Rfam family "Bacterial small subunit ribosomal RNA", at positions 524 to 776 of the family's 1533-position model. The record is from RNAcentral.